Molecule: ribosomal RNA, 253 nt
Filed under: uncultured bacterium
Lineage: Bacteria
Description: partial 16S ribosomal RNA
Rfam family: Bacterial small subunit ribosomal RNA
Source: RNAcentral
UACGUAGGUGGCAAGCGUUGUCCGGAUUUAUUGGGUUUAAAGGGUGCGUAGGCGGUCCUAUAAGUCAGUGCUGAAAUAUCCCGGCUUAACCGGGAGGGUGGCAUUGAUACUGCAGGACUUGAGUAAAGUUGAGGUUGGCGGAAUUGACGGUGUAGCGGUGAAAUGCUUAGAUAUCGUCAAGAACACCGAUUGCGAAGGCAGCUAACUAAGUUUUAACUGACGCUGAGGCACGAAAGUGUGGGGAUCAAACAGG